Molecule: ribosomal RNA, 468 nt
Filed under: uncultured bacterium
Lineage: Bacteria
Description: partial 16S ribosomal RNA
Rfam family: Bacterial small subunit ribosomal RNA
Source: RNAcentral
GACGAACGCUGGCGGCGUGCUUAACACAUGCAAGUCGAACGGACAGGCCCUGCUUUUGUUGGUUGCUCGAGUGGCGCACGCGUGAGUAAAACGCGAGUAACCUGCCCUUGACUUUCGGAUAACUUCAGGAAACUGGGGCUCAUACCGGAUAGGAGCUCCUGCUGCAUGGUGUGGGUUGGAAAGUUUCGGCGGUUGGGGAUGGACUCGCGGCUUAUCCGCUUGUUGGUGGGGUAGUGGCUUACCAAGGCUUUGACGGGUAGCCGGCCUGAGAGGGGGACCGGCCACAUGGGGACUGAGAUACGGCCCAGACGCCUACGUGAGGCAGCAGGGGGGAAUAUGGCACAAUGGGCGGAAGCGUGAUGCAGCAACGCCGCGUGCGGGAUGACGGCCUACGGGUGGUAAACCGCUGUCGCCUGUGACGAAGAGGGAGUGACGGUAAUGGGUAAAGAAGCACCGGCUAACUACGUG